AGCGGUGGAUUAUGUGGUUUAAUUCGAUGAUACGCGAGGAACCUUACCAAGGCUUAAAUGGGAAAUGACAGGUUUAGAAAUAGACUUUUCUUCGGACAUUUUUCAAGGUGCUGCAUGGUUGUCGUCAGCUCGUGCCGUGAGGUGUUAGGUUAAGUCCUGCAACGAGCGCAACCCCUGUCACUAGUUGCCAUCAUUAAGUUGGGGACUCUAGUGAGACUGCCUACGCAAGUAGAGAGGAAGGUGGGGAUGACGUCAAAUCAUCACGGCCCUUACGCCUUGGGCCACACACGUAAUACAAUGGCCGGUACAGAGGGCAGCUACACAGCGAUGUGAUGCAAAUCUCGAAAGCCGGUCUCAGUUCGGAUUGGAGUCUGCAACUCGACUCUAUGAAGCUGGAAUC
RNAcentral lists this ribosomal RNA (400 nucleotides) under Chryseobacterium sp. RNAcentral's name for it is "bacterial SSU rRNA". It matches the Rfam family "Bacterial small subunit ribosomal RNA", at positions 928 to 1333 of the family's 1533-position model. The record is from RNAcentral. Lineage: Bacteria; Pseudomonadati; Bacteroidota; Flavobacteriia; Flavobacteriales; Weeksellaceae.